RNAcentral lists this ribosomal RNA (497 nucleotides) under uncultured bacterium. RNAcentral's name for it is "partial 16S ribosomal RNA". It matches the Rfam family "Bacterial small subunit ribosomal RNA", at positions 28 to 507 of the family's 1533-position model. The record is from RNAcentral.
GAUGAACGCUGGCGGCGUGCCUAAUACAUGCAAGUCGAGCGAACAGACGAGGAGCUUGCUCCUCUGACGUUAGCGGCGGACGGGUGAGUAACACGUGGAUAACCUACCUAUAAGACUGGGAUAACUUCGGGAAACCGGAGCUAAUACCGGAUAAUAUAUUGAACCGCAUGGUUCAAUAGUGAAAGACGGCUUUGCUGUCACUUAUAGAUGGAUCCGCGCCGCAUUAGCUAGUUGGUAAGGUAACGGCUUACCAAGGCAACGAGGCGUAGCCGACCUGAGAGGGUGAUCGGCCACACUGGAACGUGGACACGGUCCAGACUCCUACGGGAGGCAGCAGUAGGGAAUCUUCCGCAAUGGGCGAAAGCCUGACGGAGCAACGCCGCGUGAGUGAUGAAGGUCUUCGGAUCGUAAAACUCUGUUAUUAGGUAAGAACAAAUGUGUAAGUAACUAUGCACGUCUUGACGGUACCUAAUCAGAAAGCCACGGCUAACUACGUG